UCCUUGGUGGUCCAGUGGCUAAGACUCCACACUCGUAAUGCAGGGGCCCCGGGUUCAAUCUCUGGUCAGGGAA
Molecule: transfer RNA, 73 nt
Filed under: Ovis aries (sheep)
Lineage: Eukaryota; Metazoa; Chordata; Mammalia; Artiodactyla; Bovidae
Rfam family: tRNA
About the family: Transfer RNA (tRNA) molecules are approximately 80 nucleotides in length. Their secondary structure includes four short double-helical elements and three loops (D, anti-codon, and T loops). Further hydrogen bonds mediate the characteristic L-shaped molecular structure. tRNAs have two regions of fundamental functional importance: the anti-codon, which is responsible for specific mRNA codon recognition, and the 3' end, to which the tRNAs corresponding amino acid is attached (by aminoacyl-tRNA synthetases). tRNAs cope with the degeneracy of the genetic code in two manners: having more than one tRNA (with a specific anti-codon) for a particular amino acid; and 'wobble' base-pairing, i.e. permitting non-standard base-pairing at the 3rd anti-codon position.
Source: Rfam by way of RNAcentral